GAUGAAGAACGCAGCUAAAUGCGAUAAGUAAUGUGAAUUGCAGAAUUCAGUGAAUCAUCGAAUCUUUGAACGCACCUUGCGCCCUUUGGCCAUUCCGAAGGGCAUGCCUGUUUGAGUAUCAUGAACACCUCAACUCUUCAUGGUUUUCCAUGAUGAGCUUGGACUUUGGGGGUCUUGCUGGCCUGUGGGUCGGCUCCUCUCAAAUGAAUCAGCUUGCCGGUUUUUGGUGGGCAUCACAGGUGUGAUAACUAUCUACGCUUGUGGUUUUCCACCAGGGUAACCUUCAGCAGUGGAGGUUCACUGGAGCUUACAAAUGUCUCUCCUCUGUGAGGACAGCCCUUUGAAUGUUUGAUCUCAAAUCAGGUAGGACUACCCGCUGAACUUAAGCAUAUCAAUAAGCGGAGGA
Molecule: unclassified non-coding RNA, 406 nt
Filed under: soil metagenome
Description: partial contains 5.8S ribosomal RNA, internal transcribed spacer 2, and large subunit ribosomal RNA
Rfam family: 5.8S ribosomal RNA (bases 1-121)
Source: RNAcentral